GAUGAACGCUGGCGGCGUGCUUAAUACAUGCAAGUCGAACGGAGACAUUAGCAAUAAUGUUUUAGUGGCGAACGGGUGAGUAACGCGUUGGUGACCUGCCCCGAAGAGAGGGAUAACAGUUCGAAAGGAUUGCUAAUACCCCAUGUGGUUGUUUGGAUUAGAUGCCUUACAACUAAACGGAUUUAUUCGCUUCGGGAGGGACCUGCGUCCCAUCAGCUAGUUGGUAGGGUAACGGCCUACCAAGGCUAUGACGGGUAGGGGACCUGAGAGGGUGGCCCCCCACAAUGGAACUGAAACACGGUCCAUACACCUACGGGUGGCAGCAGUAGGGAAUAUUGGUUAAUCUGCGAAAGCGGGAACCAGCAACGCCGCGUGCACGAUGAAGGCCUUCGGGUUGUAAAGUGCUUUUUGAGAGGAUGAGGAAGGACAGUACUCUUAGAAUAAGCUUCGGCUAACUACGUGCCAGCAGCCGCGGUAAAACGUAGGAAGCGAGCGUUAUCCGGAUUUACUGGGCGUAAAGCGUGUGUAGGCGGUUUGACAAGUUGGAUGUGAAAGCUCCUGGCUUAACUGGGAGAGGUCGUUCAAAACUGUCAGACUCGAGAGUGGUAGAGGGAGGUGGAAUUCCGGGUGUAGUGGUGAAAUGCGUAGAUAUCCGGAGGAACACCAGUGGCGAAAGCGGCCUCCUGGCCCAUUUCUGACGCUCAGACACGAAAGCUAAGGUAGCAAACGGGAUUAGAGACCCCGGUAGUCUUAGCUGUAAACGAUGUGAACUUAGUGUCGGUGGGUUUAAAUCCAUCGGUACUGAAGCU
RNAcentral lists this ribosomal RNA (809 nucleotides) under uncultured bacterium. RNAcentral's name for it is "bacterial SSU rRNA". It matches the Rfam family "Bacterial small subunit ribosomal RNA", at positions 28 to 853 of the family's 1533-position model. The record is from RNAcentral.